CCCAAAGGGACCAAACCACCGCUUCUUCCGCCUUUGUCCGGUGCUUACCCGCGCACUCACCUUCCAGAUCUUCUUUUCCCAUUUCGUCGCCAUGGAUUUCAGAAACGUCGCCGACAAAGCCUUGUUGCUCCAAAUCAACCUCGAUAAUCACCUUCCGGUAACCGACCACCAUGGAAGUUCCUUCGUUUCCCAAUUCUCCGCCUCUAACGCCGCACCCACUGGUCCAUAAUCUGGAAUCUCCUUCGCAAACGAUCGCCGCGUUACCAUCACAUGCUCCUAAUGUCCCUCAAGACAAUCCUCCAAGCACAACAAGAGGAACUGAAAAUGAAGCUGAAAAACGACCAACCAUAUAGAAGAAAUUACCAAUGAAGCUGAAGAAGGACGGUGAGACAGAGGCAGAGCAGACGGUCGAGAAUAAACGUGAACCGUGAAUAGGCAGAGGCAGAGCAGAGCGGGUGAGGCAGCGACGCAGCGUGAACCAUGAAUAAACGUGAGAGAUGAAGAAUGAGAAUUAGAAGCACAGGCGGUGAAGCUACAGCAGGAAACACGAGAAGGGGGGUCGAUUGGAGCUGAAAAUGUUAGGGCAUUGGAUUUCUGGAGCUGGGACUGAGUAAAAGGAAUUGAAAAAUGCAGAGUUUCGCGUCUGCCCGUGUCCGACCUGCGUCUGCCUGUCUCGACCCGCAUCCGCCCGUGUCCGUCGGAAACUAGGAAAAGGGACGCGCCGUUCCCCUGUCCUGAACGCGUGUCCGUGUUGGACACGUAUCCGACACGGACACGCCGGCCAUUUUGCCGUGUCCGUGCUUCUGAGGCAGGUAUUUGAGGCCAUGUUAAUCUGAGCACAGUCAUAUGCCCGAUGGAACUCAAAGACUGACUCUAUGCCGAAGUUAGCGAACCCAUUAUCACCGCCAACGAUCCACGAAGCUGAAUCGUUAAUUUUCUUUCCACAUUAUGUAGCGUCUGUAUCACAAGUAAAUUUCCAAUGUGACACUUUGUAUCGCAAGCAUCUUCGCUAAUGCUUGGCUGUGUUUUUUGCUAGAUGUGUGGUCCUUGUAGUCUUGACAUUGAAAAUGGUUUUCAACUUUUCAUAGCUAGACGACGUUCAGGAAUUCUGACACAUUUGGUCACAGCAAAUAUUGUUAAAUCCUGGUUUAUCCUGUUGAAUGAAUUUUCUGAUGUUGAAUAUCUGUGCUUUGAAAAUGGUAAA
Molecule: long non-coding RNA, 1204 nt
Organism: Prosopis cineraria
Lineage: Eukaryota; Viridiplantae; Streptophyta; Magnoliopsida; Fabales; Fabaceae
Exons: 2
Source: RefSeq, a predicted model, not a curated record